GGCCGGUCGCGGCGAGGGACUUCGGACCGUUGGAGCCGGUCCAGAUCGGUGGUGCGGGCACGGGCGCCGGUUCGAUGCCGUCGACCCGGUA
Molecule: transfer RNA, 91 nt
Filed under: Virgisporangium aliadipatigenens
Lineage: Bacteria; Bacillati; Actinomycetota; Actinomycetes; Micromonosporales; Micromonosporaceae
Description: tRNA-Ser
Source: RNAcentral